Anopheles funestus (African malaria mosquito) is the source of this 759-nucleotide long non-coding RNA. RefSeq lists it as uncharacterized. The record is from RefSeq and is a predicted model, not a curated record. The transcript is spliced from 3 exons. Lineage: Eukaryota; Metazoa; Arthropoda; Insecta; Diptera; Culicidae.
UCUUGGCUAAGGUGUCUUGGCUAUUGUGUCUUGGCUAAUGUGUCUUGGCUAAGGUGUCUUGUCUAAGGUGUCUUGGCUAAUGUGUCUUGGCUAAUGUGUCUUGGCUAAUGUGUCUUGGCUAAGGUGUCUUGGCUAAGGUGUCUUUGCUAAUGUGUCUUGGCUAAGGUGUCUUGGCUAAGGUGUCUUGGCUAAGGUGUCUUGGCUAAUGUGUCUUGGCUAACGUGUCUUGGCUAAUGUGUCUUGGCUAAUGUGUCUUGGCUAAUGUGUCUUGGCUAAGGUGUCUUGGCUAAUGUGUCUUGGCUAAUGUGUCUUGGCUAUGGUGUCUCGGCUAAGGUGUCUUGGCUAAUGUGUCUUGGCUAAGGUGUCUUGGCUAAGGUGUCUUGGCUAAGGUGUCUUGGCUAAGGUGUCUUGGCUAAUGUGUCUUGGCUAAUGUGUCUUGGCAAAGGUGUCUUGGCUAAUGUGUCUUGGCUAAUGUGUCUUGGCUAAUGUGUCUUGGCUAAGGUGUCUUGGCUAAUGUGUAUUGGCUAAUGUGUCUUGGCUAAGGUGUCUUGGCUAAGGUGUCUUGGCUAAUGUGCCUUGGCUAAUGUGUCUUGGCUAAGGUGUCUUGGCUAAGGUGUCUUGGCUAAUGUGUCUUGGCUAAGGUGUCUUGGCUAAUGUGUCUUGGCUAAGGUGUCUUGGUUAAGGUGUCUUGGCUAAGGUGUCUUGGCUAAUGUGUCUUGGCUAAUGUGUCUUGGCUAAGGUGUCUUGGCUAAGGUGUCU